This 945-nucleotide long non-coding RNA is filed under the name Vigna radiata. RNAcentral's name for it is "long non-coding RNA (VRAD_LNC003826)". The record is from RNAcentral. Lineage: Eukaryota; Viridiplantae; Streptophyta; Magnoliopsida; Fabales; Fabaceae.
GAAAGUUUCUGUGAUUUGAAAUUACUAUUGUUCUCUGAAUAGGUUUUAGAUCUAAAUUUGACUAUUGAGAUCCUGGAAGAACAUAGGCUUGUGAUGAUCAUCUUUUCGUACUUUUGACCAAAAACUGUUUAUUAUUAAUGGUUAUUUUUUUAUUAGUGAGUAACUAGAAAGUAAUAGUAUAAUGGAUGAUUGUUAUGUGAAAUAGGUAAGUGGUGAAUGUGAAAAGGGGGAGUAGGUAGGUGAGAUGAUAUAAUAAAGAAAUAGGUUAAAAGAAAGAGAAAGAUGAAUGUGAGAAUGGUGAUAUUCCUUAUUUGUAUAAGGAACUAGAAUAGGACGAAAAGGGAUGGUUGAGAGGAAACAGUUAUACUUAAAGGUAUACUAAUUGGUAAGUAUGCAUUUGUAGGGUGAAUUGGACAUGCAAUCACUUUCAAAAGUGUGCCAAAGUACCAUAUUUUCUAUAUUCUUUUGGGUCACUUUCUUUCUUCCAUUUUAGUUACAUGCCCUUGUUUCCCUUCUCCCAACCAUUCUACAAAUUAAAUUUAACUCAUUUUCUAUACUCCUUAUUUUAAUCUCACAUCAUCAUUCAUCCAAUCAAAUAAGGCCCAUAACCACUAAUCCAGCCCAUCAAAACAAUAAUACAAAAUGGCCAAGUUAGGUGAAAAUUGAAAAUUUACUGAAUCGGAUAAAAAUAUUUAGUAAACUCAAUUAUUGUUGGACUAAACCCCUGUUAAUUUGGUUAAAAAAAUUGGGUGUUGCUCCCUACACCUCCCCAAGUGGGAUCUAUACCUCUCUAGUAUUUUAAUUUAUUUCAAAAAUAUUUUACACCUUCUCACUAUUUUCUUUUAUUCCAAAAAUACCCUACACCUUCCCACUAUCUUUAACAAUUUUUUUCUUUCUCUCUCUACAUUAAUGGAGCAUUUACAUGACUCAUUAAUUGAGCAUUUA